GAUGAACGCUAGCUACAGGCUUAACACAUGCAAGUCGAGGGGAAACGGCAUUAAGUGCUUGCACUUUUUGGACGUCGACCGGCGCACGGGUGAGUAACGCGUAUCCAACCUUCCCAUGACUAAGGGAUAACCUGCCGAAAGGCAGACUAAUACCUUAUGGUCUUCACUGACGGCAUCAGAUGUGAAGUAAAGAUUUAUCGGUUAUGGAUGGGGCUGCGUCUGAUUAGCUUGUUGGCGGGGUAACGGCCCACCAAGGCAACGAUCAGUAGGGGUUCUGAGAGGAAGGUCCCCCACAUUGGAACUGCGACACGGUCCAAACUCCGACGGGAGGCAGGAGUGAGGAAUAUUGGUCAAUGGGCGAGAGCCUGAACCAGCCAAGUAGCGUGCAGGAUGACGGCCCUAUGGGUUGUAAACUGCUUUUGUAUGGGGAUAAAGUCAAUCACGUGUGAUUGUUUGCAGGUACCAUACGAAUAAGGACCGGCUAAUUCCGUG
This 492-nucleotide ribosomal RNA is filed under the name uncultured bacterium. Its description in RNAcentral is "partial 16S ribosomal RNA". It matches the Rfam family "Bacterial small subunit ribosomal RNA", at positions 28 to 507 of the family's 1533-position model. The record is from RNAcentral.